AUGGGGAAUGUGCCAAAGAGACAACAACCCGACCAUAGAAAAAAAACAACAGCAGAAGGUCACCAACAGGUCUUCAAUGUAGCGAGAAAUUCCCGCACCCGGAGGCGUCCUUCAGCUGGCCCCUAAACAAAUAUAUAUUAGUUCUGUGAUAAUGAACGCCAUACUAAUUUCCAAAUUGUACACAAGAAACUAAAAUUAAAAUAAUACAAGACUAACAAAGGCCAGAGGCUCCUGACUUGGGACAGGCGCAAAAAUGCGGCGGGGUUAAACAUGUUUGUGAGAUCUCAACCCUCCCCCUAUACCUCUAGCCAAUGUAGAAAAGUAAACGUAUAACAAUACGCACAUUAAAAUUCAGUUCAAGAGAAGUCCGAG
RNAcentral lists this long non-coding RNA (372 nucleotides) under Mytilus galloprovincialis (Mediterranean mussel). The record is from RNAcentral. Lineage: Eukaryota; Metazoa; Mollusca; Bivalvia; Mytilida; Mytilidae.